UGAGUAAUGCGUGACCAACCUGCCCAUGCUCAGAAUAGCUCUUGGAAACGGGUGGUAAUGCUGGAUGCUCCAAUUGACGCAUGUCUUGUUGGGAAAGUGUUUAGUGGCAUGGGAUGGGGUCGCGUCCUAUCAGCUUGUAGGCGGGGUAAUGGCCCACCUAGGCUUCGACGGGUAGCCGGCCUGAGAGGGCGGACGGCCACAUUGGGACUGAGAUACGGCCCAGACUCCUACGGGAGGCAGCAGCC
Molecule: ribosomal RNA, 245 nt
Filed under: uncultured Gardnerella sp.
Lineage: Bacteria; Bacillati; Actinomycetota; Actinomycetes; Bifidobacteriales; Bifidobacteriaceae
Description: partial 16S ribosomal RNA
Rfam family: Bacterial small subunit ribosomal RNA
Source: RNAcentral